GAUGAACGCUGGCGGCGUGCCUAAUACAUGCAAGUCGAGCGAACGGACGAGAAGCUUGCUUUUCUGAUGUUAGCGGCGGACGGGUGAGUAACACGUGGAUAACCUACCUAUAAGACUGGGAUAACUUCGGGAAACCGGAGCUAAUACCGGAUAAUAUUUUGAACCGCAUGGUUCAAACGUGAAAGACGGUCUUGCUGUCACUUAUAGAUGGAUCCGCGCUGCAUUAGCUAGUUGGUAAGGUAACGGCUUACCAAGGCAACGAGGCAUAGCCGACCUGAACGGGUGGUCGGCCACACUGGAUCAGAGGAUGGGCCCAGACACCGACGGUGGGCAGCAGCAGGGAAUCUUCCGCGAGGGACGAGAGCCGGACGGUGCAACGCCGCGGAAGGGAUGAAGGUCUACGGAUCGGAAAGCGCUGUAAUUAGGAAAGAUGAUAUGUGUAAGUAACUGUGCACAUCUUGACGGUACCGAGACAGAAAGCCACGGCUAACUACGUG
Molecule: ribosomal RNA, 497 nt
Filed under: uncultured bacterium
Lineage: Bacteria
Description: partial 16S ribosomal RNA
Rfam family: Bacterial small subunit ribosomal RNA
Source: RNAcentral